Molecule: non-coding RNA, 72 nt
Organism: Nematostella vectensis (starlet sea anemone)
Lineage: Eukaryota; Metazoa; Cnidaria; Anthozoa; Actiniaria; Edwardsiidae
Source: Rfam
GGCCCGAUGGUCUAGAGGUAUGAUUCUCGCUUAGGGUGUGAGAGGUCCCGGGUUCAAUUCCCGGUCGGGCCC